Molecule: ribosomal RNA, 759 nt
Filed under: uncultured Neisseriaceae bacterium
Lineage: Bacteria; Pseudomonadati; Pseudomonadota; Betaproteobacteria; Neisseriales; Neisseriaceae
Description: bacterial SSU rRNA
Rfam family: Bacterial small subunit ribosomal RNA
Source: RNAcentral
AUUGAACGCUGGCGGCAUGCUUUACACAUGCAAGUCGGACGGCAGCACAGAGAAGCUUGCUUCUUGGGUGGCGAGUGGCGAACGGGUGAGUAACAUAUCGGAACGUACCGAGUAAUGGGGGAUAACUAAUCGAAAGAUUAGCUAAUACCGCAUAUUCUCUGAGGAGGAAAGCAGGGGACCUUUUGGCCUUGCGUUAUUUGAGCAGCCAAUAUCUGAUUAGCUAGUUGGUGGGGUAAAGGCCCACCAAGGCGACGAUCAGUAGCGGGUCUGAGAGGAUGAUCCGCCACACUGGGACUGAGACACGGCCCAGACUCCUACGGGAGGCAGCAGUGGGGAAUUUUGGACAAUGGGGGCAACCCUGAUCCAGCCAUGCCGCGUGUCUGAAGAAGGCCUUCGGGUUGUAAAGGACUUUUGUUAGGGAAGAAAAGGGAAGUGCUAAUACCACUUUUUGCUGACGGUACCUAAAGAAUAAGCACCGGCUAACUACGUGCCAGCAGCCGCGGUAAUACGUAGGGUGCGAGCGUUAAUCGGAAUUACUGGGCGUAAAGCGAGCGCAGACGGUUACUUAAGCAGGAUGUGAAAUCCCCGGGCUCAACCUGGGAACUGCGUUCUGAACUGGGUAGCUAGAGUAUGUCAGAGGGGGGUAGAAUUCCACGUGUAGCAGUGAAAUGCGUAGAGAUGUGGAGGAAUACCGAUGGCGAAGGCAGCCCCCUGGGAUAAUACUGACGUUCAUGCUCGAAAGCGUGGGUAGCAAACAGG